CCUACGGGGGGCUGCAGUGGGGAAUAUUGGACAAUGGGCGAAAGCCUGAUCCAGCCAUGCCGCGUGUGUGAAGAAGGCCUUCGGGUUGUAAAGCACUUUCAGUGGGGAAGAAAGCCUUGGGGCUAAUACCCUCGAGGAAGGACAUCACCCACAGAAGAAGCACCGGCUGACUCCGUGCCAGCAGCCGCGGUAAUACGGAGGGUGCGAGCGUUAAUCGGAAUUACUGGGCGUAAAGCGCGCGUAGGCGGUCUGAUAAGCCGGUUGUGAAAGCCCCGGGCUCAACCUGGGAACGGCAUCCGGAACUGUCAGGCUAGAGUGCAGGAGAGGAAGGUAGAAUUCCCGGUGUAGCGGUGAAAUGCGUAGAGAUCGGGAGGAAUACCAGUGGCGAAGGCGGCCUUCUGGACUGACACUGACGCUGAGGUGCGAAAGCGUGGGUAGCAAACAGGAUUAGAUACCCUUGUAGUC
Molecule: ribosomal RNA, 465 nt
Filed under: Vreelandella stevensii
Lineage: Bacteria; Pseudomonadati; Pseudomonadota; Gammaproteobacteria; Oceanospirillales; Halomonadaceae
Description: partial 16S ribosomal RNA
Rfam family: Bacterial small subunit ribosomal RNA
Source: RNAcentral